This is a non-coding RNA of Equus caballus (horse), 940 nucleotides long. The record is from RefSeq and is a predicted model, not a curated record. Lineage: Eukaryota; Metazoa; Chordata; Mammalia; Perissodactyla; Equidae.
CUGCCCCGGCCCCGGAGUCUCCGGUUUCCCCUGGAGGAGUGGGGGAGGGAAGGUAGGGAGCGAGGGCGCGCGGGCACGCGAGCCCGGGCCCGCCCCGCCCCGCCCAGGCAGCUCCCGGGGGCUGACCGCCCCGGCCCGGCUGGGCUCGGCCCGGCGUGCGCCCGGCUGGCGCUUUACUGCUCGCCAGCCCCGGGGUCAAGAGGAGGGAGGGAAUGUCUGCCACAGCAGCGCCGUCUACAAGAGGCGAGAUGAGCACACUCUCCUGUGUACACACUGCAAGGUGACAGAGGAUCGCCUCCCACACAGGGAUUUUCCAAAGGACUGGCGGAGGGAGCACAGUAAACAAGAGAGAUGCUUUCCGCCAGGAGAAGUUUGUCUAGGGAAGAGCCCCCAACCACUCUGCGGAUCGAGGGGUUUUUAAAUCUGUGUCUUCACUCCAAUCAGCAGCCUCCCACCGAACUGGAGCGGAGCGUGUCCAAAAGGCGUUUCCGUAAAACAGAAACUUGACAUCUCUACUGGAUGUAUACAUAUAUGUCCUAUGUUAUAUAAUCGAUGUUAAAGAUGCAUGCGGAGCCUCGGUUCACACAGGGGCACCCAGUGACCCACGCGCCUCAUGCAGCCAGGCGUCUCCUGCGCCCGGGAGACCCGGGACCUCGGCCAUGGGCUCGCUGCUGCCCGCGAUCCACCGCUCCAUUCGCGCCCCAGACAGUGAAUACCGACAUGAACGCACACCGGGGAGACGCGCAGGGCUCCCGGGAACAGUAGCACGCGAAAGCAUCACCUACCAGUUUUCCUGCAUCCAUUGGAUGGCUUCAUUCUCGUUGAACUGCUUUUCGAAUUCAUAUUCUUGUAAAGUCAACACUGACAUGUUCAUCGGGGCUGAUCUUCGGAGUCGCUACGUGUUCUCUACACAAAAUAAAAUAAUCUGUAAAGCGCUUGA